Molecule: ribosomal RNA, 119 nt
Filed under: Mustela putorius furo (domestic ferret)
Lineage: Eukaryota; Metazoa; Chordata; Mammalia; Carnivora; Mustelidae
Source: RNAcentral
GUCUAUGGCUAUACCACCCUGAACGCGCGCGAUCUCGUCUGAUCUUGGAAGCUAAGCAGGGUCGGGCCUGGUUAGUACUUGGAUGGGAGAAUGUCCACUUCUCUGAUAGCUCAUAAAGC